UAAGGGAGAGCUGUCAGCAUGGCGCUUGCUACCUUGCUGUGGGCAGUUGUGGCCUCUACAUGUCUCGGAUCCAGCCUGGCCCAGAUGGUCACUCAGCCUCAUCCAGAAAUAUCCGUGCAGGAGACAGAGACUGUGACCCUGGCCUGCACAUAUGAUAUCAGAGACAGUCACUAUUAUUUGUUCUGGUACAAACAGCCUCCCAGCAGAGAAAUGAUUCUCAUUAUCCGCCAAGAAUCUUUUAGGCAACAAAAUGCAACAGAUAAUCGCUUCGCUGUGAACUUCCAGAAAGCAAGCAAACACUUCAGCCUCAGGAUCUCAGACUCCCAGCUGGAGGAUGCAGCGGUGUAUUUCUGUGCUCUCUCAGGGGCACAGUGAGAUGAGUG
Non-coding RNA from Pteronotus mesoamericanus, 383 nucleotides. The record is from the annotation of a RefSeq genome assembly. NCBI's taxonomy places the organism in Eukaryota, Metazoa, Chordata, Mammalia, Chiroptera, Mormoopidae.